Molecule: transfer RNA, 91 nt
Filed under: Parcubacteria group bacterium
Lineage: Bacteria
Description: tRNA-Ser
Rfam family: tRNA
About the family: Transfer RNA (tRNA) molecules are approximately 80 nucleotides in length. Their secondary structure includes four short double-helical elements and three loops (D, anti-codon, and T loops).
Source: RNAcentral
GGAGAGAUCGCAUAGUUGGUCUAGUGCGCCUGAUUGGAGUUCAGGUAGGCCCGCAAGGGUCUCGGGGGUUCGAAUCCCCCUCUCUCCGCCA